GGGCGGAUAGCUCAGUUGGGAGAGCGCCGGCCUUACAAGCCGGAGGUCGCAGGUUCAAUCCCUGUUCCGCCUACCA
Molecule: transfer RNA, 76 nt
Filed under: bacterium
Lineage: Bacteria
Also listed under: 9 other names
Description: tRNA-Val
Rfam family: tRNA
About the family: Transfer RNA (tRNA) molecules are approximately 80 nucleotides in length. Their secondary structure includes four short double-helical elements and three loops (D, anti-codon, and T loops). Further hydrogen bonds mediate the characteristic L-shaped molecular structure. tRNAs have two regions of fundamental functional importance: the anti-codon, which is responsible for specific mRNA codon recognition, and the 3' end, to which the tRNAs corresponding amino acid is attached (by aminoacyl-tRNA synthetases). tRNAs cope with the degeneracy of the genetic code in two manners: having more than one tRNA (with a specific anti-codon) for a particular amino acid; and 'wobble' base-pairing, i.e. permitting non-standard base-pairing at the 3rd anti-codon position.
Source: RNAcentral